CCUGGCUUCAGCUGGAAUGACAUUCGUUCCACCAGCAGAGACAACAGCCUGCUGGUAGGAAGGGAGAAAAUGUAUCUUUCUCUCCUUUGUCCUGUAGUAUGAGGACACUCAAAACGGCCUGAAGAGUGUCCUGUGGCCAGGCUCACACUGCCUACUUCUCAGCCCUAUCUCUCCCGUGCUGUCUGUGAGAGUUCUUGAUACUGAAAUGCUGGGAAACUGCAGCAGAAGCAUAGACACGGCGCUGGGCUGAGAAUGACAGACAGAAAGAAGCUAGGUCUCCAGGUCAAACCACAGCCAGAGGCUCCGAGUGGAGGAUGCUGAAUCUGUAGAGUUUCAAAGGCCUGAGAGACUCACAGGGUUAUUCUGAGAAUCUCCCCAGUCAAUAGAAUUGUACCAUGUACGUUGUGAAGUCUGCAGCCCUUGUGGAUUCAUCUGUUUCACCACAGAUUUUUAGGUGCAAUUAAAUUAUAGAUCAGAAAGCAGAAAAUAGUGUGUUCUCUGUUCUCCCUUGUGUCUACCACUACUUGACAAUGACUCUCUUUUAUUGUUAUUAUUGGCC
Molecule: long non-coding RNA, 559 nt
Organism: Mus musculus (house mouse)
Lineage: Eukaryota; Metazoa; Chordata; Mammalia; Rodentia; Muridae
Product: predicted gene, 51998
Exons: 3
Source: RefSeq, a predicted model, not a curated record